This 1744-nucleotide long non-coding RNA is filed under the name Anas platyrhynchos platyrhynchos (common mallard). Its description in RNAcentral is "lncRNA (ENSAPLG00000022570.1)". The record is from RNAcentral. Lineage: Eukaryota; Metazoa; Chordata; Aves; Anseriformes; Anatidae.
UUGUUACAUUUAGAUUUGAUGCUAAAAUCAAUAGGUCACCUCACAAGAACAUGUAUGAACAACAACAUGAGAGGUUCCUUGAGUGGGUUGCACUGAUGAGCCAAAGUUUUGCCUGAACUCUUCAGCUUCUGAGAUUAAAAGUACUAAAAUAUUUCUAAAGUUUAUUGGGACUGGAUUCUCUGACUGUAGGCAGACAAGCUCCCUCUAGAGAGGCCAUCUGUGACCUCUGGUUCUCACUUGGUCUGGGCUCAAAAUGAACGUUGUGAUUCCUAGGGGAAAACACAGACUGCCUUCCCCUCCCUGCACCCGGACACCAGCUGCCCAGACAGUGAGCAGGGCUAACAGCAUAGCUACAAGGCACAGCCUCACCUGUAUCCCUGAUUGCAACCCUGUGUCAUUGACUGCUCCAAAUCCUCUUACCAAGGAAUGGAAAGCAGACAGUCAGCAAUAAAGAUUUUUCCUUGCAGUGGGAAUCUGCCAGCUGAGGAGGUGUUCCUGGAUCCCUUGAUGCCCGUGAGGAUGUGCAGAGAGGUUUCAGGUCAGGUGGAGUUUGAAUUGCCGCAUGUGAUCACAGCACUGGUUGGUCCUGUCUCACCCACUUCUGCUCUGGAACCCCACUACAUGGUUUACAACAUUCAGGAGAGAUGCCCUGAUGAAACUGAAAGUUCACAUCUGAAUUUUCUUCCUCCUUGUUUUCUCUGUUCACCAGGAGGGUUUGGUCUCACACUUAGUGUCAUGUCGUGAUUGGAUGAUAGGUAUAUAAGAGAUGUAGGACUGGAAAACAUCAUUGGUGUAAUUCUAUCCAGCCCUCUGCUGUUGUAGAUAACUACCUUCUUCAUCUCCCUGGACAGGCUGAGAUACAUCCUACGUUCACUAGUCCUCUUGGAAAGCUGUUCCAUAACAUCCUGAUAUUAAGAUGAUACAUCAAAGCUUCGUCUUGUAAAUAAUAGUGAUAGCGUCUUUCGUCCCCUUGGUAAUGGCCUUAGAAAUCAGAGGGUAGAAAAUGCUGUAGAAAACCUAAAAGCUAAUGCAGAUGCAUGAGGAGUUGACAAGCAUCACUAGAUCUGAUUAGACCAGUUUUGAGCAGAGGAAUGGGCUUGACUUCUGGAGGUCCUUUCCAACCUAAAUUGUUCUAAAAUUCUGUGUAUACGAGCCAAUUGACAUUCUGUUGGUAUUUUGACAUUUGCAUAAUUUUAUGCUGAAGCUGGCAGUUGUAUUUGUUGGAUUCACUUAAGCAACUGCCUUGAUAUUUUUGUUAGUUUCAUUUUUUUUUCUUAGUGAAUUGAUAAAGAAAAACUUUAAAAACCAAACAGAUUAAUUAGUCAAUUCCUGCCCCAUGCCAGAUGAUAAAAUGACCAAGGUGCUCCAUUUCUGUUACCUUAACUAGUAAUGUCUCAAACCCUUUAAGAGAGGGACAUUUUAGGACCUAGGCUGGUCUCCCUUUUCUUCCACCUAGAUCACUCAAAUCCAGAGCCACUCCGCCUUACAUGUGUUCUGGUUCAGACUCCUGUCCUUGGUCUUUCUUAUUCCCUCUCCCAAGAAAUGUGUGUCAGGAACUGCUUAUUACAUGUUUGUCCACCCUCCAGAAGCUGCAAGGCAUUACAUGCUCAUGUGUGGUCCUCUCCAUGGACUGAAAGGAAAUCUGGAGUGGUAUCUGGAGCACCUGCAAGGUGAGGCUGAACAGCCUGUAGUUCCCUGGGUAUGUCCUUGUAGAAGCCCUUCUUGUUGUAUUUGAUACCCCUCA